AGGGCACCACCAGGAGUGGAGCCUGCGGCUUAAUUUGACUCAACACGGGAAAUCUCACCAGGCCCGGACACUGGAAGGAUUGACAGAUUGAGAGCUCUUUCUCGAUUCGGUGGGUGGUGGUGCAUGGCCGUUCUUAGUUGGUGGAGUGAUUUGUCUGGUUAAUUCCGAUAACGAACGAGACUCUGUCCUGCUAAAUAGUUCCCGCGUCCUUUGUUGCGCGGGAAAUUCUUCUUAGAGGGACUGGCGGCGUCUAGCCGCACGAGAUUGAGCAGUAACAGGUCUGUGAUGCCCUUAGAUGUUCUGGGCCGCACGCGCGCUACACUGAAGGGAUCAGCGUGUCUUCCCUUCCCGAGAGGGACGGGUAACCCGCUGAACCCCCUUCGUGGUAGGGAUCGGGGCUUGCAAUUAUUCCCCGUGAACCAGGAAUUCCCAGUAAGCGCAAGUCAUAAGCUUGCGUUGAUUACGUCCCUGCCCUUUGUACACACCGCCCGUCGCUACUACCGAUUGAACGUUUUAGUG
RNAcentral lists this ribosomal RNA (519 nucleotides) under uncultured eukaryote. Its description in RNAcentral is "SSU rRNA". It matches the Rfam family "Eukaryotic small subunit ribosomal RNA", at positions 1161 to 1703 of the family's 1831-position model. The record is from RNAcentral.